UGCCUCAUCAUGUGUGUCACGUAUUUACA
RNAcentral lists this non-coding RNA (29 nucleotides) under Homo sapiens (human). Lineage: Eukaryota; Metazoa; Chordata; Mammalia; Primates; Hominidae. The record is from RNAcentral.